AGUGAACGCUGGCGGUAGGCCUAACACAUGCAAGUCGAACGGCAGCACAGUAAGAGCUUGCUCUUACGGGUGGCGAGUGGCGGACGGGUGAGGAAUACAUCGGAAUCUACUUUUUCGUGGGGGAUAACGUAGGGAAACUUACGCUAAUACCGCAUACGACCUACGGGUGAAAGCAGGGGAUCUUCGGACCUUGCGCGAUUGAAUGAGCCGAUGUCGGAUUAGCUAGUUGGCGGGGUAAAGGCCCACCAAGGCGACGAUCCGUAGCUGGUCUGAGAGGAUGAUCAGCCACACUGGAACUGAGACACGGUCCAGACUCCUACGGGAGGCAGCAGUGGGGAAUAUUGGACAAUGGGCGCAAGCCUGAUCCAGCCAUACCGCGUGGGUGAAGAAGGCCUUCGGGUUGUAAAGCCCUUUUGUCGGGAAAGAAAAGCAGCAGGUUAAUACCCCGCUGUUCUGACGUUACCCAAAGAAUAAGCACCGGCUAACUUCGUG
Molecule: ribosomal RNA, 492 nt
Filed under: uncultured bacterium
Lineage: Bacteria
Description: partial 16S ribosomal RNA
Rfam family: Bacterial small subunit ribosomal RNA
Source: RNAcentral